RNAcentral lists this ribosomal RNA (492 nucleotides) under uncultured bacterium. RNAcentral describes it as "bacterial SSU rRNA". It matches the Rfam family "Bacterial small subunit ribosomal RNA", at positions 28 to 507 of the family's 1533-position model. The record is from RNAcentral.
GAUGAACGCUAGCUACAGGCUUAACACAUGCAAGUCGAGGGGCAGCAUUUUAGUUUGCUUGCAAACUGAAGAUGGCGACCGGCGCACGGGUGAGUAACACGUAUCCAACCUGCCGAUAACUCCGGGAUAGCCUUUCGAAAGAAAGAUUAAUACCUGAUGGUAUCUUAAGCACACAUGUAAUUAAGAUUAAAGAUUUAUCGGUGUACGAUGGGGAUGCGUUCCAUUAGGUAGUAGGCGGGGUAACGGCCCACCUAGCCUACGAUGGAUAGGGGUUCUGAGAGGAAGGUCCCCCACAUUGGAACUGAGACACGGUCCAAACUCCUACGGGAGGCAGCAGUGAGGAAUAUUGGUCAAUGGACGAGAGUCUGAACCAGCCAAGUAGCGUGAAGGAUGACUGCCCUAUGGGUUGUAAACUUCUUUUAUAAAGGAAUAAAGUCGGGUAUGGAUACCCGUUUGCAUGUACUUUAUGAAUAAGGAUCGGCUAACUCCGUG